CCUACGGGUGGCAGCAGUGGGGAAUAUUGGGCAAUGGGCGCAAGCCUGACCCAGCAACGCCGCGUGAAGGAAGAAGGCUUUCGGGUUGUAAACUUCUUUUGUCAGGGAAGAGUAGAAGACGGUACCUGACGAAUAAGCCACGGCUAACGACGUGCCAGCAGCCGCGGUAAUACGUAGGUGGCAAGCGUUAUCCGGAUUUACUGGGUGUAAAGGGCGUGUAGGCGGGAAUGCAAGUCAGAUGUGAAAACCGUGGGCUCAACCCAUGGCCGGCAUUUGAAACUGUUGUUCUUGAGUGUUGGAGAGGCAGGCGGAAUUCCUGGUGUAGCGGUGAAAUGCGUAGAUAUACGGAGGAACACCAGUGGCGAAGGCGGCCUGCUGGACAGUAACUGACGCUGAGGCGCGAAAGCGUGGGGAGCAAACAGGAUUAGAUACCCGGGUAGUC
RNAcentral lists this ribosomal RNA (442 nucleotides) under uncultured bacterium. RNAcentral's name for it is "partial 16S ribosomal RNA". It matches the Rfam family "Bacterial small subunit ribosomal RNA", at positions 338 to 795 of the family's 1533-position model. The record is from RNAcentral.